AACGCGAAGAACCUUACCUGGGCUCGAAAUGUACAGGACAGCGGUAGAAAUAUCGUCUCCCAGCAAUGGGUCUGUAUAUAGGUGCUGCAUGGCUGUCGUCAGCUCGUGUCGUGAGAUGUUGGGUUAAGUCCCGCAACGAGCGCAACCCUUAUCUCCAGUUGCUACCAUUUAGUUGAGCACUCUGGCGAAACCGCCUCGGAUAACGGGGAGGAAGGUGGGGAUGACGUCAAGUCCUCAUGGCCUUUAUGUCCAGGGCUACACACGUGCUACAAUGGCCGGUACAAACCGCUGCAACCCCGCGAGGGUGAGCUAAUCGGAAAAAGCCGGCCUCAGUUCGGAUUGGAGUCUGCAACUCGACUCCAUGAAGCUGGAAUCGCUAGUAAUCGUGGAUCAGCAUGCCACGGUGAAUACGUUCCCGGGCCUUGUA
RNAcentral lists this ribosomal RNA (427 nucleotides) under uncultured Acidobacterium sp. RNAcentral's name for it is "bacterial SSU rRNA". It matches the Rfam family "Bacterial small subunit ribosomal RNA", at positions 958 to 1385 of the family's 1533-position model. Lineage: Bacteria; Pseudomonadati; Acidobacteriota; Terriglobia; Terriglobales; Acidobacteriaceae. The record is from RNAcentral.